This 468-nucleotide ribosomal RNA is filed under the name uncultured bacterium. RNAcentral describes it as "partial 16S ribosomal RNA". It matches the Rfam family "Bacterial small subunit ribosomal RNA", at positions 28 to 507 of the family's 1533-position model. The record is from RNAcentral.
GACGAACGCUGGCGGCGUGCUUAACACAUGCAAGUCGAACGGAAAGGCCCUGCUUUUGUGGGGUGCUCGAGUGGCGAACGGGUGAGUAACACGUGAGUAACCUGCCCUUGACUUUGGGAUAACUUCAGGCAACUGGGGCUAAUACCGGAUAGGAGCUCCUGCUGCAUGGUGGGGGUUGGAAAGUUUCGGCGGUUGGGGGUGGACUCGCGGCUUAUCAGCUUGUUGGUGGGGUAGUGGCUUACCAAGGCAUUGACGGGUAGCCGGCCUGAGAGGGUGACCAGCCACAUUGGGACUGAGAUACGGCCCAGACUCCAACGGGAGGCAGCAGUGGGGAAUAUUGCACAAUGGGCGGAAGCCUGAUGCAGCAACGCCGCGUGCGGGAUGACGGCCAUCGGGUUGUAAACCGCAUUCGCCUGUGACGAAGCGUGAGUGACGGUAAUGGGUAAAGAAGCACCGGCUAACUACGUG